UCAAGCAUUAAGAGCGCAGGGUGGAUGCCUUGGCACUGAGAGCCGAUGAAGGACGUGAUAAGCUGCGAAAAGCUUCGGGGAGGAGCAAAUAUCCAUUGAUCCGGAGAUAUCCGAAUGGGGAAACCCACUUGAGCAAACCUCAAGUAUCCAUACGCCAAUCCAUAACGUAUGGAAGGGAACCGGGGGAACUGAAACAUCUAAGUACCCCGAGGAGAAGAAAGAAACCUCGAUUUCCAAAGUAGCGGCGAGCGAAAUGGAAAGAGCCCAAACCGUGGUGCGUGCACCGCGGGGUUGUGGACUGCAUAAGGUACUCGAAUCAAUAGCCGAACAGUUUUGGGAAAUCUGAUCAGAGAGGGUGAAAAUCCCGUAGGCGAAAUUGAUGAGAGGCUGGCAGGAUCCAGAGUACCACGAGACACGGGAAACCUUGUGGGAAGCAGGAGGGACCACCCUCCAAGGCUAAAUACUCCUCAGUGACCGAUAGCGCAUAGUACUGUGAAGGAAAGGUGAAAAGGACCCCGGGAGGGGAGUGAAAGAGAACCUGAAACCCUGUGUUUACAAGCUGUGGGACAUCUUUACAUGAUGAACCGCGUACUUUUUGUAGAACGGUCCGGCGAGUUGCGGAUGCCGGCAAGGUUAAGCACUUAAGGUGUGGAGCCGAAGGGAAACCAAGUCUGAAGAGGGCGCAUAUAGUCAGUAUCCGCAGACCCGAAACCGGGUGAUCUACCCAUGUCCAGGUUGAAGUUGCCGUAAAAGGCAAUGGAGGACCGAACGCACAUCCGUUGAAAAGGGUGGCGAUGAGGUGUGGGUAGGGGAGAAAUUCCAAUCGAACCCGGAGAUAGCUGGUUCUCCUCGAAAUAGCUUUAGGGCUAGCCUCGAUGGAGUCUUACGGAGGUAGAGCACUGAAUUUCUAAGGGGGCGUCAAAGCUUACCAAGGGAUAUCAAACUCCGAAUGCCGUAAAGAUGCUCAUCGGGAGUCAGACUGCACGAGAUAAGUUGGGCAGUCAAAAGGGAAAGAGCCCAGACCUGCUGCUAAGGUCCCAAAGUACGUGUUAAGUGGAAAAGGAUGUGGGAUUUCGAAGACAACUAGGAUGUUGGCUCAGAAGCAGCCACACAUUCAAAGAGUGCGUAAUAGCUCACUAGUCGAGAGGUCCUGCGCCGAAAAUGUCCGGGGCUGAAACACGACACCGAAGCACAGGAUACCGUAUGGUAUGGUAGAGGAGCAUUGCUGGCGCGAUGAAGCAGUACCGGAAGGAGCUGUGGAGUGCCAGGAAGAGAGAAUGCCGGAAUGAGUAGCGAGAGAGAGGUGGGAAUCCUCUCGGCCGAAUAUCCAAGGUUUCCAGGGUAAAGCUGAUCUGCCCUGGGUAAGUCGGGGCCUAAGGAGAGGCAGAAAUGCGUAUCCGAUGGACAGCAGGUUGAGAUUCCUGCACUAUCUUAAAACAGAACUGUGGGGACAUUUGUGGAAAGCACAGGCGCGGAACGGAAAGCCGCGUGCAAGCGAAGGAGGAGUCACAUAGGAAAAACCGUGUGGCAAUCCAAAGGCGUGAUGCGGACCGAACUAAAGUAGGGAAGUGUGUGAGCCAUGAAUCAAGAAAAGCCGCUAUUGUUUUUAAGAUACCCGUACCGUAAACCGACACAGGUGGAUGAGGAGAGAAUCCUAAGGCCGGCGGAAGAAGCAUUGUUAAGGAACUCGGCAAAAUGACCCCGUAACUUCGGGAGAAGGGGUGCCAACGAGAGUUGGCCGCAGAGAAUAGGCUCAAGCAACUGUUUAGCAAAAACACAGGUCUAUGCAAAACCGUAAGGUGAGGUAUAUGGGCUGACGCCUGCCCGGUGCUGGAAGGUUAAGAGGAGGGGUUAGCGCAAGCGAAGCUCUGAAUUGAAGCCCCAGUAAACGGCGGCCGUAACUAUAACGGUCCUAAGGUAGCGAAAUUCCUUGUCGGG
Molecule: ribosomal RNA, 1938 nt
Filed under: human gut metagenome
Description: bacterial LSU rRNA
Rfam family: Bacterial large subunit ribosomal RNA
Source: RNAcentral